This 127-nucleotide small RNA is filed under the name Marmota monax (woodchuck). Lineage: Eukaryota; Metazoa; Chordata; Mammalia; Rodentia; Sciuridae. The record is from RNAcentral.
GCUGGGCAUGGUGGCGUACUCCUAUAAUCCUAGCCUCUUGGGAGGCUGAGGCAGGAGGAUCAUGAGUUCAAAACCAGCCUCAGCAACUUAUUGAGGUCCUAAGCAAUUUAGUAGGAUCCUGUCUCAA